GACAGAGGGGGCAAGCGUUGCUCGGAAUCACUGGGCGUAAAGGGCGCGUAGGCGGGAUGGCAAGUCAGUCGUGAAAUCUCUCGGCUCAACCGAGAAACGUCGGCUGAUACUGCCGUUCUUGAGGGAUGCAGAGGAGACUGGAAUUCCCGGUGUAGUGGUGAAAUGCGUAGAUAUCGGGAGGAACACCAGUGGCGAAGGCGACUACCUGGCCCAUUCUUGACGCUGAGGCGCGAAAGCUAGGGGAGCGAACGGG
RNAcentral lists this ribosomal RNA (253 nucleotides) under uncultured bacterium. RNAcentral describes it as "partial 16S ribosomal RNA". It matches the Rfam family "Bacterial small subunit ribosomal RNA", at positions 524 to 776 of the family's 1533-position model. The record is from RNAcentral.